AUUGAACGCUGGCGGCAUGCCUUACACAUGCAAGUCGAACGGCAGCACGGGUGCUUGCACCUGGUGGCGAGUGGCGAACGGGUGAGUAAUACAUCGGAACGUACCUUAUCGUGGGGGAUAACGCAGCGAAAGCUGUGCUAAUACCGCAUACGCCCUGAGGGGGAAAGCGGGGGAUCGAAAGACCUCGCGCGAUUAGAGCGGCCGAUGCCUGAUUAGGCUUGUUGGUGGGGUAAAAGCCCACCAAGGCGACGAUCAGUAGCUGGUCUGAGAGGACGAUCAGCCACACUGGGACUGAGACACGGCCCAGAUUCCUACGGGAGGCAGCAGUGGGGAAUUUUGGACAAUGGGGGCAACCCUGAGCCAGCAAUGCCGCGUGAGUGAAGAAGGCCUUCGGGUUGUAAAGCUCUUUUGUCAGGGAAGAAACACCGGCUCUAACACAGUCCGGGAAUGACGGUACCUGAAGAAUAAGCACCGGCUAACUACGUGCCAGCCGCCGCGGUAA
This 502-nucleotide ribosomal RNA is filed under the name uncultured bacterium. Its description in RNAcentral is "partial 16S ribosomal RNA". It matches the Rfam family "Bacterial small subunit ribosomal RNA", at positions 29 to 523 of the family's 1533-position model. The record is from RNAcentral.